RNAcentral lists this unclassified non-coding RNA (246 nucleotides) under Paraglomus occultum. RNAcentral describes it as "partial contains 5.8S ribosomal RNA and internal transcribed spacer 2". The stretch from base 1 to 65 matches the Rfam family "5.8S ribosomal RNA", at positions 84 to 154 of the family's 154-position model. Lineage: Eukaryota; Fungi; Glomeromycota; Glomeromycetes; Paraglomerales; Paraglomeraceae. The record is from RNAcentral.
GUGAAUCAUCAAAUUUUUGAACGCAAAUUGCGCCUUUUUCGGAAGGCAUGUCUGUUUGAGGGCACCAUUUAACAAAUAAGGUGCAUUUCGUGUGCACACGUUGAUGAGCUUUCCAAAUUUAUGUAUUUUUUUUUUUUGCUUAUAAUAAACAUCGCGAUUCUUUUUUUCAUUUCGAGUGGAUUAAAAUUUUUUCUUACUUGUGUUAGGAAAAGCGUUAUCUCGCAAAUGGGUGUUGCGUUUCUACGA